AGUAAAUUUAAACUGCAGCCGCGGCCGAAAACGCCAAGAGAUUGAUGCUGUAGCUGCCCUGAGAUAACCGGGACUGUGGAAUCGGGAAGAGCUCAUGGAGCUCGCGAAUGUAAUACGGAGGCCUCUGAGGAAGGAGUACGGAGGCCGAGAAGGAGCCGGCAUUUGAUGAGCGAACCGGGAAAGGGAGACGAUUGCUUCGAGCUGGAGAGUUCCAUGGCUGAGAGUAGGCUCCGGGCCCCGGACCUAGGAGUUUCCAGGUGUCUAGGAAAAUGCCAGAAGAACUCACCAGGUGCCGGGAAGCAUCCCUUUUCCGGAAAGUCCUUUUACUUGGAUCUGCCUGCUGGCAAGAAUCUCCAGUUUUUGACGGGGGCCAUUCAGCAACUGGGUGGGGUAAUUGAGGGUUUUCUGAGCAAAGAAGUAAGUUACAUCGUGUCCAGCCGCAGAGAAGUAAAGGCAGAGAGCAGUGGGAAAAGCCACAGAGGCUGCCCUAGCCCUAGCCCCAGUGAGGUCAGAGUGGAAACAUCGGCCAUGGUUGAUCCAAAAGGCAGCCACCCCAGGCCUUCACGGAAACCCGUUGACUUGGUGCCUCUAAGCAGAGGGAAGGAGCUGCUGCAGAAGGCCAUCAGAAACCAGGUGAGCUGGGGCAAGAUGGGACAGAGCGGGUGGUCUCCAGCGUAGGGAGGGAUUUCACUCUUCUUCCCAGGUUCUUCUGAAGCACCCACACAAAAUGCACACUCUGCGAUAUGUAGUAUUGUCAUUAUUUCCUUCUUCUACAUCAGGUAGUGGAGGCUCAGACAAGUUAUUUAGCCAUUCACCUAGAGAGUAAGUGUUGAAGCCAGAGCCACCUCCAACUCUGGAGCCUACCAAGAGAACUGUGGGGGUGUGGGAUGUGGCGGGACAGGGUUGCUGGGUACAGAAGCCAGACUUCUUUUACAAGUAACUCUAGGCUGGGUGUGGUGGCUCACGCCUAUAAUCCCAGCACUUUGGGAGGCUGAGGUGGGUGGACCACUUGAGGCCAGGAGUUCAAGACCAGCUUGGCCAACAUGGCGAAACCCCAUCUCUACCUAAAAAUUAGCAGGGUGUGGUGGCACGCACCUGUAGUCCCCGCUACUCAGGUGGCUGAAGCAGAAGAAUCGCUUGAACCUGAGAGGUGGAGGUUGCAGUGAGCCGAAAUUGUGCCACUGCACUCCAGCCUGGGCAAUAGAGCUAGACUCUGUCUCAAAAAAAAAACAAAAAACAAGUAACUCUUUAUUCCUUGUGUGAAAAUCCAGGGCUGUUAAAGUUUAGUGGCAGGAGGAGGAGUUAAGGUGAUCUUGUGAGAAGAGUCAUGCUGGUGACAUCAGGAGGGGUACAUGGCUGUGAUGGGGGAGGUGGUGCUGCUGGACUGAGCCAGUGGAGGGGGAAGAUCUGCAGCUAGCAUAGUUUCAUGCUCAAUGAGGAUGAUGGUCACCAUGUUUGUUGUGUACUUACUGUGCUGAGAGCUUUCCUCGCAGAGGCCCUCCCAACGAACAGCUCUCUCAGAAGCAUCUGUUCCUUCCUGGUCACGAGGUGGCCAGAGCACAAUGUAUAGGCAGACCAGUGGUCCUUCCUCUCCCAAUGUGGCCAUGUGGAGGACAGGAUGUCUUCCUGAGGGUUGGGAUGGACUCUCUGGGCACUGUACUCUCUCUCCUACCUGCCUCCCUGCAGUCCCUCCCAUGGAUGACUCAGGCCUCCCAGAAGCAAUUUCUAUCUGUCCCCUUCACUUUCAGGCCUUGGGGAGUCUCUGCUCCUACCUGACUCUGUGUUGUAAUUUCAGGGGAGCAUCAGUGGAGGAGGCAGUGGGGGCAGCAGCAGCCUCCUGACCAAUGCCCGCUCUUGGGGAGUGAGGAUUCUGCACGUGGAUGGUACCCUUUCUGUGCUGGGCUCCUGUGGAGGGAGAAUUGGUGACUUUGACCAGGAGUGUCAGCUUUUAGAAGGAUCAUGGUCAUGUGAGCUUCUGUCACCGGAAGCCAGAAAUACUCAGCUGCCAUGUUGAUCCACAAAGGUGGGAGGAUGUGGGGAAGGGGGAAAGCGGUGAGGACGCAGAGUGCAGGCUGUGGCCUCGGCAUCCCGCAGGAGGUCCCUAGAACAUGCCGUUUCAUGUCACCUGCUACAGCUCUCCCCCAGCUAGUAUCAUGAUCCUGUUUUACAAAUGCAGAAAUGAUCUUAAUAUUCAUGACCACUGGCCAGGCGUGGUGGCUCACACCUGUAAUCCCAGCACUUUGGGAGGCCAAGGCGGGUGGAUCACAAGGUCAAGAGUUCGAGACCAGCCUGACCAACGUGGUGAAACCCCGUCUCUACUAAAAAUACAAGCAUUAGCCGAGCCUAGUGGUGCGUGCCUGUAAUCCCAGCUACUCAGGAGGCUGAGGCAGGAGAAUCACUUGAACCCAGGAGGCAGAGGUUGCAGUCAGCCAAGAUCAUGCUACUGCACUCCAGCCUGGGUGACAGAGCGAGACUCCGUCUCAAAAAAAAAAA
Molecule: small RNA, 2493 nt
Filed under: Pan troglodytes (chimpanzee)
Lineage: Eukaryota; Metazoa; Chordata; Mammalia; Primates; Hominidae
Description: retained intron
Source: RNAcentral